RNAcentral lists this long non-coding RNA (534 nucleotides) under Nicotiana benthamiana. RNAcentral describes it as "long non-coding RNA (NBEN_LNC024241)". Lineage: Eukaryota; Viridiplantae; Streptophyta; Magnoliopsida; Solanales; Solanaceae. The record is from RNAcentral.
UUACCCUCCCCAGACCCCACUUUGUGGGACUAUACUGGGUAGUUGUUGUUGUUGUUUAAAGAAAGAAACUGAAGAAAACCAUCCAAGUGAACCAUUCAGCUGUGCAACCAUUCAGCAACCUUCCACAUGGUCACAUGGAUAAUAAAGUCUGAAAACAUAGAUUUCAGAAUCGACUAUAACUGCAGUUCCAGGAUGCUAGUAGAACGAUGCUACCUAAAUUAAGUAAUCUCAAUAGCUCUUCUUCUUCCAAUAUCAUAGAUUUCUCUAUUUUUUAUGUGAAGCAUGGAAGAUAUUAGAUAUAUCAUGAAAGGAACCAUAUCAUACUCAGCCAGAGGCGGCUCAACGGUAUAGGUUGCCUAAAGCCAAAUCGUAAUAAGAGAUCUUAAACUUAUUUAGUAAUAAACUUCUUAGAUAUUGUUGUUUGGAGUUUACAUUUUUCACUUUUGAGACUCAAAAGAUUAUUUUUUAUAAUCAAUUUCAUAUAAUAUUUUUUUGACAAUGUAACCGAUCUAUUUAACCUUGGUUGAAACACUA